This 253-nucleotide ribosomal RNA is filed under the name uncultured bacterium. Its description in RNAcentral is "partial 16S ribosomal RNA". It matches the Rfam family "Bacterial small subunit ribosomal RNA", at positions 524 to 776 of the family's 1533-position model. The record is from RNAcentral.
CACGUAGGGCGCAAGCGUUACUCGGAAUUACUGGGCGUAAAGGGUGCGUAGGUGGUUGUUUAAGUCUGUUGUGAAAGCCCCGGGCUCAACCUGGGAAUGGCAAUGGAUACUGGACAGCUAGAGUGCGGUAGAGGGUAGUGGAAUUCCCGGUGUAGCAGUGAAAUGCGCAGAUAUCAGGAGGAACACCGAUGGCGAAGGCAGCUCGCUGGGACGGUACUGACGCUGAGGCGCGAAAGCGUGGGGAGCAAACAGG